This 2110-nucleotide ribosomal RNA is filed under the name Bacteroides ovatus ATCC 8483. RNAcentral's name for it is "bacterial LSU rRNA". It matches the Rfam family "Bacterial large subunit ribosomal RNA", at positions 1 to 2133 of the family's 2925-position model. Lineage: Bacteria; Pseudomonadati; Bacteroidota; Bacteroidia; Bacteroidales; Bacteroidaceae. The record is from RNAcentral.
GAAAGUAAGCAAGGGCGCAUGGCGGAUGCCUUGGCUCUCGGAGGCGAUGAAGGACGUGAUAAGCUGCGAUAAGCUUCGGGAAGGUGCAAAUAACCUUUGAUCCGAAGAUUUCCGAAUGGGACAACCCGGCAUUCUGAAGGAAUGUCAUCCAUCCUAGAUGGAGGCUAACACAGGGAACUGAAACAUCUUAGUACCUGUAGGAAAAGAAAAUAAUAAUGAUUCCCCUAGUAGUGGCGAGCGAACGGGGAUUAGCCCAAACCAAUGUUGUUACGGCAAUAUUGGGGUUGUAGGACCACGAUAUCGCAAGAACUUUAGUGAGAAGAACCCUUUGGAAAAUGGGACCAUAGACGGUGAUAGUCCGGUAUUCGAAGCUAAACGAAGCGUAGUGGUAUCCUGAGUAGCGCGGGACACGAGGAAUCUUGCGUGAAUCUGCCGGGACCAUCCGGUAAGGCUAAAUACUCCCGAGAGACCGAUAGCGAACCAGUACUGUGAAGGAAAGGUGAAAAGCACUUCGAAUAGAAGAGUGAAAUAGUCCCUGAAACCGUGCGCCUACAAGCGGUCGGAGCAACUUCGGUUGUGACGGCGUGCCUUUUGCAUAAUGAACCUACGAGUUACUUUUUCCGGCAAGGUUAAGGAUCUUGAGAUCCGCAGCCGAAGCGAAAGCGAGUCUUAAUAGGGCGAUUAGUCGGAAGGAGUAGACGCGAAACCAAGUGAUCUACCCUUGGUCAGGUUGAAGGUUAGGUAACACUAACUGGAGGACCGAACCGAUAAGCGUUGAAAAGCUUCCGGAUGAACUGAGGGUGGGGGUGAAAGGCUAAUCAAACUUGGAGAUAGCUCGUACUCCCCGAAAUGCAUUUAGGUGCAGCCUUGGGAAUUACUACUGUGAGGUAGAGCGACUGAUAAGAUGCGAGGGCUUCACCGCCUAUCAAGUCUUGAUAAACUCCGAAUGCGCAGUAGUUCGAUCCCAGGAGUGAGGGCAUGGGUGCUAAGGUCCAUGUCCUAAAGGAGAAGAAUCCGGACCAUCAGCUAAGGUCCCGAAAUAAUUGCUAAGUUGAACUAACGAAGUCAGAUUGCUAAGACAGCUAGGAUGUUGGCUUGGAAGCAGCCAUUCAUUUAAAGAGUGCGUAACAGCUCACUAGUCGAGGAGUUUGGCGUGGAUAAUAAUCGGGCAUCAAGCAAUUUACCGAAGCUAUGGGAUGUUAACUAAACACUAACAUCGGUAGGGGAGCAUUCCACUCUGCGUCGAAGGUGAAGCGUGAGCUUUGCUGGAGCGUGUGGAAAAGCAAAUGUAGGUAUAAGUAACGAUAAAGGGGGUGAGAAACCCCCUCGCCGAAAGACUAAGGUUUCCUGAUCAACGCUAAUCGGAUCAGGGUUAGUCGGGUCCUAAGGCUCAGCCGAACGGUGAGGCCGAUGGCAGAACAGGUUAAUAUUCCUGUACUACCUUAAGGAGUGACGUGGAGACGGAGGAGUGACAGCGCCGCGGACUGACGGAAUAGUCCGUUGAAGGGUGUAGAUGUUGAUUAUCCCAGGCAAAUCCGGGAUAAGAGUCGAACCUGAUAGUAUACCAAAUUCUUCGGAAUAAGGUAAUAGUGCGUGUAAGCAUACUCCCAAGAAAAUCCGCUAAACUUAAUCUUUAAGGUACCCGUACCGCAAACGGACACACGUAGUCGGGUUGAAUAUACUAAGGCGCUUGAGUGAUUCACGGUUAAGGAACUAGGCAAAUUGACCCUGUAACUUCGGGAUAAAGGGUCCCAACGAGAGUUGGGCGCAGAGAAUAGGUCCAGGCAACUGUUUAACAAAAACACAGGGCUGUGCCAAAUUGAAAGAUUACGUAUACAGCCUGACACCUGCCCGGUGCUGGAAGGUUAAGAGGAGAUGUCAUCGCAAGAGAAGCAUUGAAUUGAAGCCCCAGUAAACGGCGGCCGUAACUAUAACGGUCCUAAGGUAAGCGAAUUCCUUGUCGGGUAAGUUCCGACCUGCACGAAUGGUGUAAUGAUCUGGACACUGUCUCACGUGAGCUCAGUGAAAUGUAGUAUCGUGAGAUGGCGAUACUCGCGAUGGACGAAAGACCCCGUGACUUACUAUAGCUAACAUUGAAUUGGGUAAAUGA